GGGCCCGCAGCUCAGUUGGCUGGAGCGUUAGCUGUACUAAAACCUUACCCUUGAUGAUGUGGGUUCAAAUCCCACCGAGGCCG
This 83-nucleotide transfer RNA is filed under the name Schistocephalus solidus. It matches the Rfam family "tRNA". From Rfam's summary of the family: Transfer RNA (tRNA) molecules are approximately 80 nucleotides in length. Their secondary structure includes four short double-helical elements and three loops (D, anti-codon, and T loops). Lineage: Eukaryota; Metazoa; Platyhelminthes; Cestoda; Diphyllobothriidea; Diphyllobothriidae. The record is from Rfam by way of RNAcentral.